UACGUAGGGGGCAAGCGUUGUCCGGAAUCAUUGGGCGUAAAGAGCGUGUAGGCGGCCAGAAAAGUCCGCUGUGAAAACUCGAGGCUCAACUUCGAGCUGUCGGUGGAAACUUUCUGGCUAGAGUCCGGAAGAGGAGAAUGGAAUUCCUGGUGUAGCGGUGAAAUGCGCAGAUAUCAGGAAGAACACCCGUGGCGAAGGCGGUUCUCUGGGACGGUACUGACGCUGAGGCGCGAAAGCGUGGGGAGCAAACAGG
Molecule: ribosomal RNA, 253 nt
Filed under: uncultured bacterium
Lineage: Bacteria
Description: partial 16S ribosomal RNA
Rfam family: Bacterial small subunit ribosomal RNA
Source: RNAcentral